GUGCUCACUUUGGCAGCACAUAUACUAAAAUUGGAAUGAUGCAGAGAAGGUGAGCAUGGCCCUUGGGCAAGGAUGACACGCAAAUUUCUGAAAUAUUCCAUAUUAAA
Loxodonta africana (African savanna elephant) is the source of this 107-nucleotide small nuclear RNA. The record is from Ensembl. NCBI's taxonomy places the organism in Eukaryota, Metazoa, Chordata, Mammalia, Proboscidea, Elephantidae.